This 253-nucleotide ribosomal RNA is filed under the name uncultured bacterium. RNAcentral's name for it is "partial 16S ribosomal RNA". It matches the Rfam family "Bacterial small subunit ribosomal RNA", at positions 524 to 776 of the family's 1533-position model. The record is from RNAcentral.
UACGAAGGGGGCUAGCGUUGCUCGGAAUCACUGGGCGUAAAGCGCACGUAGGCGGAUUGCUAAGUCAGGGGUGAAAUCCUGGAGCUCAACUCCAGAACUGCCCUUGAUACUGGCGGUCUCGAGUCCGGGAGAGGUGAGUGGAACUGCGAGUGUAGAGGUGAAAUUCGUAGAUACUCGCAAGAACACCAGUGGCGAAGGCGGCUCACUGGCCCGGUACUGACGCUGAGGUGCGAAAGCGUGGGGAGCAAACAGG